Molecule: ribosomal RNA, 292 nt
Filed under: uncultured bacterium
Lineage: Bacteria
Description: partial 16S ribosomal RNA
Rfam family: Bacterial small subunit ribosomal RNA
Source: RNAcentral
GUGCCAGCAGCCGCGGUAAUACGGAGGGUGCAAGCGUUAUCCGGAUUCACUGGGUUUAAAGGGUGCGUAGGAGGGCAGGUAAGUCAGUGGUGAAAUCUCCAAGCUUAACUUGGAAACUGCCGUUGAUACUAUCUGUCUUGAAUAUUGUGGAGGUGAGCGGAAUAUGUCAUGUAGCGGUGAAAUGCUUAGAUAUGACAUAGAACACCAAUUGCGAAGGCAGCUCGCUACUCAAUUAUUGACUCUGAGGCACGAAAGCGUGGGGAUCAAACAGGAUUAGAUACCCCCGUAGUCC